CCCCACUAUGCCCAGCCAUAAACUUUUACUUACACUCGAAUCGCCUGGGAACUACGAGCAAAGCUUAAAACCCAAAGGACUUGACGGUACCCCACAUCCACCUAGAGGAGCCUGUCCUAUAAUCGAUACCCCCCGUUCAACCUCACCACUUCUAGCCUAUCAGCCUGUAUACCUCCGUCCUCAGCUUACCCCGUGAGUGAAAUCUAGUAAGCCUAAUGCCCCUACGCCAACACGUCAGGUCAAGGUGCAGCAAAUGAAGUGGGAAGAGAUGGGCUACACUCUCUAACAUAGAAAAUACGAAAGACUACCUAUGAAACCUAGUCGGAAGGCGGAUUUAGAAGUAAAAAGAAAACAGCAUGUUCUUUUUAACCCGGCACUGGGGUGUGUACACACCGCCCG
RNAcentral lists this ribosomal RNA (399 nucleotides) under Proceratophrys melanopogon. Its description in RNAcentral is "partial 12S ribosomal RNA". It matches the Rfam family "Bacterial small subunit ribosomal RNA", at positions 785 to 1396 of the family's 1533-position model. The record is from RNAcentral. Lineage: Eukaryota; Metazoa; Chordata; Amphibia; Anura; Alsodidae.